This 429-nucleotide ribosomal RNA is filed under the name uncultured archaeon. RNAcentral describes it as "bacterial SSU rRNA". It matches the Rfam family "Archaeal small subunit ribosomal RNA", at positions 474 to 903 of the family's 1478-position model. The record is from RNAcentral.
UACCAGCUCUCCGAGUGGUGUGGAUGUUUAUUGGGCCUAAAGCAUCCGUAGCUGGCUGGACAAGUCCCCUGUUAAAUCCACCGAUUUAAUCGUUGGUGUGCGGGGGAUACUGUUCGGCUAGGGGACGGGAGAGGCCGACGGUAUUUCCGGGGUAGGGGUGAAAUCCUAUAAUCCCGGGAAGACCACCAGUGGCGAAGGCUGUCGGCUAGAGCGCGCCCGACGGUGAGGGAUGAAAGCUGGGGGAGCGAACCGGAUUAGAUACCCGGGUAGUCCCAGCUGUAAACGAUGCAGGCUAGGUGUUUGGGCGGCCACGUGCCGCUCUAGUGCCGCAAGGAAGCUGUUAAGCCUGCCGCCUGGGGAGUACGGCCGCAAGGCUGAAACUUAAAGGAAUUGGCGGGGGAGCACCACAAGGGGUGAAGCUUGCGGUUU